Molecule: ribosomal RNA, 429 nt
Filed under: Bacteroidota bacterium
Lineage: Bacteria; Pseudomonadati; Bacteroidota
Description: Bacteroidetes bacterium partial 16S ribosomal RNA
Rfam family: Bacterial small subunit ribosomal RNA
Source: RNAcentral
UAGGGAAUCUUCGGCAAUGGGGGGAACCCUGACCGAGCAACGCCGCGUGAGUGAAGAAGGUUUUCGGAUCGUAAAGCUCUGUUGUUAAGGAAGAACGAGUGUGAGAAUGGAAAGUUCAUGCUGUGACGGUAGUUAACCAGAAAGGGACGGCUAACUACGUGCCAGCAGCCGCGGUAAUACGUAGGUCCCGAGCGUUGUCCGGAUUUAUUGGGCGUAAAGCGAGCGCAGGCGGUUAGAAAAGUCUGAAGUGAAAGGCAGUGGCUCAACCAUUGUAGGCUUUGGAAACUGUUUAACUUGAGUGCAGAAGGGGAGAGUGGAAUUCCAUGUGUAGCAGUGAAAUGCGUAGAUAUAUGGAGGACCACCGGUGGCGAAAGCGGCUCUCUGGUCUGUAACUGACGCUGAGGCUCGAAAGCGUGGGGAGCGAACAGG